This 497-nucleotide ribosomal RNA is filed under the name uncultured bacterium. RNAcentral's name for it is "partial 16S ribosomal RNA". It matches the Rfam family "Bacterial small subunit ribosomal RNA", at positions 28 to 507 of the family's 1533-position model. The record is from RNAcentral.
GAUGAACGCUGGCGGCGUGCCUAAUACAUGCAAGUCGAGCGAACAGAUAAGGAGCUUGCUCCUUUGACGUUAGCGGCGGACGGGUGAGUAACACGUGGGUAACCUAUCUAUAAGACUGGAAUAACUCCGGGAAACCGGGGCUAAUGCCGGAUAACAUUUUGAACCGCAUGGUUCUACAGUGAAAGGCGGCUUUGCUGUCACUUAUAGAUGGACCCGCGCCGUAUUAGCUAGUUGGUGAGGUAACGGCUCACCAAGGCAACGAUACGUAGCCGACCUGAGAGGGUGAUCGGCCACACUGGAACUGAGACACGGUCCAGACUCCUACGGGAGGCAGCAGUAGGGAAUCUUCCGCAAUGGGCGAAAGCCUGACGGAGCAACGCCGCGUGAGUGAUGAAGGUCUUCGGAUCGUAAAACUCUGUUAUUAGGGAAGAACAAAUGCGUAAGUAACUGUGCGCGUCUUGACGGUACCUAAUCAGAAAGCCACGGCUAACUACGUG